RNAcentral lists this ribosomal RNA (1936 nucleotides) under Listeria monocytogenes. RNAcentral's name for it is "partial 23S ribosomal RNA". It matches the Rfam family "Bacterial large subunit ribosomal RNA", at positions 992 to 2925 of the family's 2925-position model. The record is from RNAcentral. Lineage: Bacteria; Bacillati; Bacillota; Bacilli; Caryophanales; Listeriaceae.
CGAGUGAUAAGAUCCGUAGUCGAAAGGGAAACAGCCCAGACCACCAGUUAAGGUCCCCAAAUAUAUGUUAAGUGGAAAAGGAUGUGGGGUUGCUUAGACAACCAGGAUGUUGGCUUAGAAGCAGCCACCAUUGAAAGAGUGCGUAAUAGCUCACUGGUCGAGUGACCCCGCGCCGAAAAUGUACCGGGGCUAAACAUAUUACCGAAACUGUGGAUGAACCUCUUUAGAGGUUCGUGGUAGGAGAGCGUUCUAAGGGCGGUGAAGUCAGACCGGAAGGACUGGUGGAGCGCUUAGAAGUGAGAAUGCCGGUAUGAGUAGCGAAAGAAGGGUGAGAAUCCCUUCCACCGAAUAUCUAAGGUUUCCUGAGGAAGGCUCGUCCGCUCAGGGUUAGUCGGGACCUAAGCCGAGGCCGAUAGGCGUAGGCGAUGGACAACAGGUAGAGAUUCCUGUACCAGUGCUAAUUGUUUAACCGAUGGGGUGACACAGAAGGAUAGGGAAUCGCACGAAUGGAAAUGUGCGUCCAAGCAGUGAGUGUGAGAAGUAGGCAAAUCCGCUUCUCGCGAAGCAUGAGCUGUGAUGGGGAAGGAAAUUAAGUACGGAAGUUCCUGAUUUCACGCUGUCAAGAAAAGCCUCUAGGAAGAGUAGUACUGCCCGUACCGCAAACCGACACAGGUAGAUGAGGAGAGAAUCCUAAGGUGAGCGAGAGAACUCUCGUUAAGGAACUCGGCAAAAUGACCCCGUAACUUCGGGAGAAGGGGUGCUCUAUUAGGGUGCAAGCCCGAGAGAGCCGCAGUGAAUAGGCCCAGGCGACUGUUUAGCAAAAACACAGGUCUCUGCAAAACCGUAAGGUGACGUAUAGGGGCUGACGCCUGCCCGGUGCUGGAAGGUUAAGAGGAGUGCUUAGCUUCGGCGAAGGUACGAAUUGAAGCCCCAGUAAACGGCGGCCGUAACUAUAACGGUCCUAAGGUAGCGAAAUUCCUUGUCGGGUAAGUUCCGACCCGCACGAAAGGCGCAACGAUCUGGGCACUGUCUCAACGAGAGACUCGGUGAAAUUAUAGUACCUGUGAAGAUGCAGGUUACCCGCGACAGGACGGAAAGACCCCGUGGAGCUUUACUGCAACCUGAUAUGGAAUGUUUGUACCGCUUGUACAGGAUAGGUAGGAGCCGAAGAGACGUGUGCGCUAGCAUACGAGGAGGCAAUGGUGGGAUACUACCCUGGCUGUAUGACCAUUCUAACCCGCCACGCUUAGCGCGUGGGGAGACAGUGUCAGGUGGGCAGUUUGACUGGGGCGGUCGCCUCCUAAAGAGUAACGGAGGCGCCCAAAGGUUCCCUCAGAAUGGAUGGAAAUCAUUCGCAGAGUGUAAAGGCACAAGGGAGCUUGACUGCGAGACUGACAAGUCGAGCAGGGACGAAAGUCGGGCUUAGUGAUCCGGUGGUUCCGCAUGGAAGGGCCAUCGCUCAACGGAUAAAAGCUACCCCGGGGAUAACAGGCUUAUCUCCCCCAAGAGUCCACAUCGACGGGGAGGUUUGGCACCUCGAUGUCGGCUCGUCGCAUCCUGGGGCUGUAGUCGGUCCCAAGGGUUGGGCUGUUCGCCCAUUAAAGCGGCACGCGAGCUGGGUUCAGAACGUCGUGAGACAGUUCGGUCCCUAUCCGUCGCGGGCGCAGGAAAUUUGAGAGGAGCUGUCCUUAGUACGAGAGGACCGGGAUGGACACACCGCUGGUGUACCAGUUGUUCCGCCAGGAGCAUCGCUGGGUAGCUAUGUGUGGCAGGGAUAAACGCUGAAAGCAUCUAAGCGUGAAGCCCCCCUCAAGAUGAGAUUUCCCAUUUCUUCGGAAAGUAAGAUCCCUGAAAGAUGAUCAGGUAGAUAGGUUUGGAGUGGAAGUGUAGCGAUACAUGGAGCGGACAAAUACUAAUCGAUCGAGGACUUAACCAA